GACAGUUUUUGGGUGAUGCACCACAGAAUCAGGCUUCCUCCUCUCUGGUUCCAGGUGCGUCACCUGAGAACUGCA
Molecule: non-coding RNA, 75 nt
Organism: Myotis davidii
Lineage: Eukaryota; Metazoa; Chordata; Mammalia; Chiroptera; Vespertilionidae
Source: Rfam